This is a long non-coding RNA of Haemorhous mexicanus (house finch), 2323 nucleotides long. RefSeq lists it as uncharacterized. NCBI's taxonomy places the organism in Eukaryota, Metazoa, Chordata, Aves, Passeriformes, Fringillidae. The transcript is spliced from 5 exons. The record is from RefSeq and is a predicted model, not a curated record.
AGGGCGGGGCAGGGGCGGUGCGGCCCCGCUGCCCGCUCCCCCCGCGGGGCCGCCGGCGGCCCGGGGCUCCACCCGCAGCACCCAGAGCUUGUGCGGGGGCCGAGGGACCCGUCUGGAGGGUGACACCCCGCCCUCCGCUCCUCUUCCGCCUCCCUGGGGUUGAGAAGGUGCGCUUGGAAUGGAGGAGGAAAAUCAGCGAAGAUGCUUUGGAAUCUACCCCUGAUGUUGACAUCCUGACUGAAUCUCAGACUCCUGGGCUUCACUGCAGCUGAACAACCCUCACCCCAUACAGACAGGCAGACAGCAAGUGAAGGUAAAGACUUGCUAUGCUGACUCAGAGGAAAGGUUGAACAAGCCUGGGCUCCUGCCUCUGACAGUGGCCAGAGAAUCUUCAAGAAAGUCACAGAAGAAAACAAGCGCUUUUCCCUGAUUCAUCCUCUUCACAAAUCAUUUCAUCCUCUCUCUAACCAGUUCCCUCUGGAGGAAAGACAAUGGAAAAGAGAAAUGCAGCAGCAACCUUUGGCCAUUCAGCUUAUUCCUUCUACACCCAGCAUGGUGUAGGAUCUGCCAUCUGAUCUUCCCCCUAACAGAACAUGUGAAGUGUCAGUAACAACCUCAAAACAGCGCUCCUACCCUACUCAGAUUCCUCAUCAAUCUCACAAUCUGGGGAAUCGGAGGAAAUAGAGAACUGAUCAUCUGCUGACUUCUUCUGUACAUUAUGAAAGUGUCCCUGUGCCAUGUGUGAUUCCAAUCUCCUUUUCCUUUAAUCAGACAGAACAUCAGUGUGUCAGACUGCACCAGCCAGGUCUGUGUGCCGGGCGGGGAAGGACGGAGCCGCUUCUGCGGAGGCGCUCCCAGCUGCCUGGAGGCGACGGCACAUCUCUGGCUUCCCCCUCUCUAACCCUUCCACCUCCCCACCCUGCUCAGCUCAGCCUUGCAAAUGUUCCAUGGCAGGGCAUGUUCUGCCCCUGGCCGAGCCCGCUGGGGCAGCACUGGCUGCGGGGAGCCCUCGAGGAGUGGCAGAACGCGUCUGCCUGGAAGUCUGCGUGUGCCACAGGUGAACCCGUUCCUCACUCUUUGGAGGUCCCCAGGGACCAAAUCACUCCGUAGAAUUGGCCAGAAUUGUAAUGAUUUCCACUCAGGUACCUUGGCAUGGUGGUAGAAAAAGCAUGGGUAGAAGGUUGGGUGGGUUUAUGUGGGUGCAAGGGUGUGUGUGCUCUUUAUACAUUACACUGGAAUGGUUCAUCACAAGCUUUCCAGCACUCUGCAGGGCCUCUGUCAUGAAGAUCAGACUAGGUAGUCCACACUAGGUAAGGACAUUAAAUUUUGGCACUUAUUCCCUAGCUUGUAAGCAUUUUUGGAAGGAAAUGAGAUCUGAAAUAGAAGUGAAGUUCUAUCACCUUCAUCUUUUUUUAGUGUUUUAUUCACUUAGUGUUACAAUUUUUUGCUUUUACCUACCUGUACUCUCAGUACACUACAACCAUUUCAAUACUGAAUUGAAUGGCUAUAAAAGUAACCCAACUCUAUCCAUCCCUCCCUUCCCAUUUGUGCAGGGCAACAUCUGAAGGACACUUUUACCUCCAGAUGUCAGGACAUGUGGGAGAGGGAGCAGACUCAGAGCUUGUGUGUCCUCUGUGGGAUGUAAGCAGAAACAGUACCUAGACAGGAAAGUGUUUGAGUGUUAAUGAUAGGACAGUGCUAAAAGCGCUUUAGAAACACUUCCCUGGUUUUUUGUGGGUUUUUUUGUUUUUUUUUUUUUGCUGGGGAAAUCUCAAUUUGUUGGCUGCCACUGGCUUUUUGCCCAGCAUUCUCAGAUCUGCUGGUGAAGGGAGACGGCAGAGCACGUUUGUUCUAUUCCUCUUCCCCAGAGUGAGAUGCCAGACUGGAGCAGAUAUGUUCCUAAGGACACACUGCAGUGGAGACUAGAGUCUCUUCAACCCUUUCCUACACUUGCCUUGAUAUAUUCAGUAGCCCAGUGCAGGGCUGAGUUGCACCUCACUCACUGGCAGCCCAUGGAAGCAGAGCUAAGUGGUGUGAGAAUCUCCACAAAUCCAUUGGACUGCUCCUAGAGCAGUGGUGUUUGUCUCCCUGUCCCUAGGACACACUCACAGCUCCAGGCAUGCACUACCCCUGCAUCACAGCAUUGUCCUGGGUGGACUUCAGCAACGUUCCAGGAACAACUUCUGGUAGAAGGGAUUGGUGUUGGGCACCCCUGGUUAAAAUUUGUCUUUCCACCUUGGUGUGCAUUGUUCCUGCUCCUUUUUUUUUCCAUGGGAGUGGCUGAAUUUCUGUAGCAUGGUAUAUAAAGCAUUUAGGACGAAAA